GAAACAGUGGCUAAGACUGGAUAGGAAGAUAAAAGGCAUCUUGUAUCUUUUAAAAGACCUAGUUAAUAGGUAUGCUUUAGGAGGGGCUUGCGCCAUAUUAGUUAGUUGGUAGGGUAAUGGCCUACCAAGACGAUGAUGUGUAGCUGGACUGAGAGGUUGAACAGCCACAUUGGGACUGAGACACGGCCCAAACUCCUACGGGAGGCAGCAGUAGGGAAUUUUCGGCAAUGGAGGAAACUCUGACCGAGCAACGCCGCGUGAAUGACGAAGUACUUCGGUAUGUAAAGUUCUUUUAUCGAGGAAGAAAAGCAAAUGGCGAACCAUUUGUUUGCCGGUACUUGAUGAGUAAGCCCCGGCUAAUUAUGUGCCAGCAGCCGCGGUAAGACAUAAGGGGGCAAGUGUUAUCCGGAAUUAUUGGGCGUAAAGGGUGCGUAGGCGGUCUAGUAAGUCAGUGGUGUAAUGUCAACGCUUAACGUUGUCCGGCUAUUGAAACUGCUAAACUUGAGUUAGAUAGAGGCGAGUGGAAUUCCAUGUGUAGCGGUAAAAUGCGUAAAUAUAUGGAGGAACACCAGAGGGCGUAGGCGGCUCGCUGGGUCUUAACUGACGCUGAGCACGAAAGCGUGGGGAGCAAACAGGAUUAGAUACCCUGGUAGUCCACGCCGUAAACGAUGAGUACUAAGUGUCGGGUUAAACCGGUACUGAAGUUAACACAUUAAGUACUCCGCCUGAGUAGUACGUACGCAAGUAUGAAACUUAAAGGAAUUGACGGGACUCCGCACAAGCGGUGGAUCAUGUUGUUUAAUUCGAAGAUACCCGAAAAACCUUUACCAGGUCUUGACAUGUUUUUGCAAAAUGAUAGUAAUAUCGUGGAGGUUACCAGAAACACAGGUGGUGCAUGGUUGUCGUCAGCUCGUGUCGUGAGAUGUUAGGUUAAGUCCUAAAACGAGCGAAACCCUUAUCGUUAGUUGCCAGCACGUUAUGGUGGGGACUUUAACGAGACUGCCAAUGAUAAAUUGGAGGAAGGUGAGGAUCACGUCAAAUCAGCAUGCCCCUUAUGACCUGGGCUACAAACGUGAUACAAUGGCUGUUACAAAGGGUAGCUGAAACGCAAGUUCUUGGCCAAUCCCCAAAAACAGUCCCAGUCCGGAUUGAAGUCUGCAACUCGACUUCAUGAAGUUGGAAUCGCUAGUAAUCGCGAAUCAGCAUGUCGCGGUGAAUACGUUCUCGGGGUUUGUACACACCGCCCGUCA
Molecule: ribosomal RNA, 1250 nt
Filed under: Tomato big bud phytoplasma
Lineage: Bacteria; Bacillati; Mycoplasmatota; Mollicutes; Acholeplasmatales; Acholeplasmataceae
Description: bacterial SSU rRNA
Rfam family: Bacterial small subunit ribosomal RNA
Source: RNAcentral